This 336-nucleotide unclassified non-coding RNA is filed under the name soil metagenome. RNAcentral describes it as "partial contains 5.8S ribosomal RNA, internal transcribed spacer 2, and large subunit ribosomal RNA". The stretch from base 1 to 120 matches the Rfam family "5.8S ribosomal RNA", at positions 35 to 154 of the family's 154-position model. The record is from RNAcentral.
GAUGAAGAACGCAGCGAAAUGCGAUAAGUAAUGUGAAUUGCAGAAUUCAGUGAAUCAUCGAAUCUUUGAACGCACAUUGCGCCCGCCAGUAUUCUGGCGGGCAUGCCUGUUCGAGCGUCAUUUCAACCAUCAAGCCCCCGGCUUGUGUUGGGGACCUGCGGCUGCCGCAGGCACUGAAAAGCAGUGGCGGGCUCGCUGUCACACCGAGCGUAGUAGCAUACAUCUCGCUCUGGGCGUGCUGCGGGUUCCGGCCGUUAAACCACCUUCAUAACCCAAGGUUGACCUCGGAUCAGGUAGGAAGACCCGCUGAACUUAAGCAUAUCAAUAAGCGGAGGA